AAAUAAAAAGCUAAUAUAUUUACUAAAAUUAUCCUCCUUGCAUUUAACUUCGUUUCGCUUUUUUAAUUUUUCUUGAAACCAAAUUUUGGCAUAUUUUUCAUCUAAUAAAUAAAGAUACCUCAAUUCUAACACCCAGAAAAAUAUUUUUUAGCAUAACUAUAUUAAAUCACUUACAUUUGUAAUUUUUUGCAUGCUCUGGCCUGACAUCUUCCGAAAUGAUAAUACCAUCCAUGGUAACACAAUUUAUACGGGCGCAGCCAUAUUUUUUCAUGAGACGGACUAACACCAUAGACGGUCCGUUUAGUGAGCGGACGAAACUCACUCUCGUCCAAGUCACGGGAAAAACGAAACACGUCAGUGACAUUCACGAGAAUAAAUGUACAACUUCGUCCCUCUCCAGUCUGACCAGUGAGAAAACCGUCCAAUAAAGAAACACACCCAUAGAAAGUAAUUCGGAAAAAGAGAAAUACAGCUUGUUCACAUGCCAACGUGAUUUCGAAAUUUAGAACUUUCUACAACCAGUUUACUGCAACUACUGCGCAUGCCUACAGUAAUUAAUUACAUUUCCAGUUCAUUAGAUGGCAGAAUUAUCGACAGGCACGCAAAAUACACUUCCGUUUCGUCUCCAUGUAUUCUUACUCCGUGGCUACAAUCCUGACAUAUCAGAAAAAGUUGCAUUA
This 680-nucleotide long non-coding RNA is filed under the name Androctonus crassicauda. Lineage: Eukaryota; Metazoa; Arthropoda; Arachnida; Scorpiones; Buthidae. The record is from RNAcentral.